AGUUGUUAACGGAUAUGAUAUGGGAAGGUUGAGCUGCUGUUUAUCUGUUCCUAGAGAUGCCAGAAUUCUGGAGAAUUUUAUCUUUGAAAAUCUUUAAAAUGUUCCAUGAUGAGUUCCUGUAUGAUGAGAGUUUAAAAUCCUACCACAGCCAUAUAUACAUGCUUAUUAGACUAUGAACCAUACAUUUACUUUUUACUGCUUAUGAGCAUUGAGUGUGGUCAAGCUGUGCAGACCCUUAGGAGCUUGUCAUGCGGUUAAAAUCAAGAUUCACUUGCACGUUCACUCAUACAUGCUGCUUCUACUCCGGAAGUACGCAUCCACAUACAUCCACUAAUUUCCAUCUCUAGAUUCACCCAGAAUUAUUCUACUCCUAUCCGGGAGAGAAUAGCCAAAAAACAUUAUCCUAUCCCUGUUAUUCCCCGUGAAAUAAAUGCUCAAGAUAUUUUGGUUACUACCACUUGCUACAUUAUUCGAGGAGGGUGAGUGCUCUAAUAAAAGAGUGAAUACGAGGAAAUAAAAAGGGGCAAGUGCCUGGAACCUCGAUGAAAAGAAAAAGUGAGACGAGAGGUAAAAAUGGACAAGUGUCCGACAGUAGAAUUAGGGGUACAAGAUACCCACCUGAGAGGAAAGAAAAAGAAAAUGUAGAGCAUCUCAUUCUCCUAAAAAGCUUCAAGGAGCAAAAAAAGGUAUGUAUCCCCUCAAAAGAGCAAAAAGUAAAAUUAGACUUUCACCAUUGUUAUCACCAUCAUCACCAUACACCAUUCAUUUGCCACACAUGCACAUCUUGAUUUGACUUAUUGACUUGUUUCUCUAGAUCUAUGGUUUGACUAUGCAAUAAAUGUCUUGUAUGUAUUAGCUGUCUCCCACCUAUGAGCUCCAGAUAUCAAAGCCUCAUUAGAGUAGGAUGAGAGAGAAGGCAAUAUCACUAUGCCUCAUACCACAAAUACUACAUACUUUGAGAGAAGGCAUAUACCAUUACUGCCUUGGUAAGGACCAAGAAAUACCACAAAAGAGAGAAUUGAGAGAGUCAUACAAGGAAUUUCUGAGUUUUAUUUUGAAAAUCUACAAAAACUCCAGAGCUAUAGUUGAUCAAGAACAAGAGACAUGGCGCCUGACUUGACCGUUCUAUCUUUUAACUGCUCAAGACACAAGUGACGGUUGCAAGCCCCAUGGUGGAAGGUAAUAUGAGUAAGUUUAAAUCUUAACAGUUUACCCUAACCUAGAGAUGAGAUCUUGUUUGAACGCAUGUGUACCUUUAAGGCAUGAAACCACUGCAGAAACUCAUGAGUCCAUCCUUGCUCAGGGACGAGCAAGAGGUAAGCUUGGGGGAGUUGUUGACGGUUCUUAAGUAUCAAAUUUAAUCAUCAAAUAAAUAAAGAAAAGGAUCCAAAUGCAACCGACACCUAGACUUAGGGUUUUAUCUGACAGAAUUCCACGAGUUUUUGUGUUUGUCUAUUUCUGCAGGGGGUUAUCAGGAAAUAUGGAGGAAAGGCCCACAUGUCAGGUUUACAUAGAGAUAUUAACGUGUCACAUAAUUUUCUAUCAUCUAGAAGACUCCAGAAGCCACGGGAAUGAACGGGAAGCCGAGCGGGCUCGGGGACAGGGCGCCCGCCCUACUUUUUCCACCAAUCAGAACCAAUUUCGCGGAUCAUGCUCCACCGACCUAAAGGAUCAAAGAAAACCGUGCGAUCAAUGUCGGUUUGAUCCGAUAGCCCAAAUUCACUUGAGGGGACUAUAUAAGCAGACCCCCUGGCCCCUAGAGGAGGCACCCCCUUGAUCCCUAUUCAUUAUUCAUAGACAGAGCAAAAGCUAGGGUUUGGAGAUGAGAGCUCUCCUCUCUUCUCUAAACUAGAGUAGAUCUAGAUAGUAGCGAGAUGGAGAGCGAUGGUGGAUUGGAGGAGAGGCCGGCAUGUCGGUUCUUCCUCUGGUUGCACUUCGCCAUGAUCAAGCUCUAAUCAAGCUUGCUCAUGGGAUGACUCUGGUAAUCUACUUCUUAUUUCAUUAUGCAAUUACUAUCCAUGUAUGUUCUGGUUCACAACUCUUUUGAGUACUUUAAUAUAUAGGAUGCUAUAGGUGAGAGUUGUAGUAUAGGUGUAAGCGUGGUGCUUAGACCUAGAUUACUUGUGGAUAUCCCCUGUCUAGCCGGGCCGUGUGGUAGGCCGCGUAGGUGACAGUUACGUUGGUCCCUUGUAGUCCACCUCCUGUUAGCAGGACUGGUAGGGUUUAUCGGCCUAUGGAUAAGCAUCCUUUGUGGUGUAUUCUUAUCACGUGGUUCGUCCCAGACAUAGACAUACCCCUUUGAAGUAGAGAAACCAUAGUUAUCCUCUUUAUUCUCCUACCAUCGCCCAUAUACUAGAUUGCUCUACUCUCUAUUCCCAUAUUAUCACCCAUUGUUAUCUUACCUCUAAUAUUGUUCUUAUUCAAUUCUACCAUCUUUCCUGUUUACACCUAUCUAUCUAUCUUGGUUAAGUUAGAGCAUAGUUGGUUCUCCCGUUUCCCUGUGGAUACGAUAAAACCUUUAACCGGGUAAAAGCUACAACGGUAUCCGUGCGCUUACGGAUUUAUCUGUCUACGUAUAAAUACCAUAGUACACUCUAGUGCCAUGCUGGGGAUGACAACCUAGUAUUCAAGUGGUGUUAGCAAGUGUCAAUAGGAAUCACUUUGGUGCUUGUCCCCUCUUUUGCUUUCUCCUUUUCUCUUGCACCAAGCACUAAACAUGGGAAUCCGAGGCAACCAGCAGCAACUUUAGGUCAGCACCACCACCAUCUUUAUCAGACAACCCAACUUAGCAUGAUUAAAGUGGUGGUGGGCAAAACACAUGGUCAACCGACCAUGCUUUUGGUCCCCAUUUGGUGACCUUUUGCAAGCAUGAGGCUAGGUUCCCUGUCCAAAGUUGAAGGCAUGCUUCAAAGGGGGUGAUCCCUGGUCGGCCGACCUGCCCUAUGGGGGUCUUGCCAUGCCCUUUCACCCCUAUAAAUAGCACCCCAAUGUGAGCUCAAUACCACACCAAAACCAGCAGAAUCAUCUCAAGCUCACUUGGCCUUCUCUCUUCUCUUUAGUGUUCCAAGCCUUCUCAGGCUUAGUGUAGUAGUAGAAAUAAACCCAAAAACAUUUCCCUUCUGCAUAGUAGUAUAGUAGGAUGCUUGGUCUUGUUUGUUCACUUGUGAAGCUAGCAUUAGAAAUUCAUCUCCGCCAAGCUCACCGACAAGAGGUAGGGUGAUGGCUCAUCCUUGAGCUCUCACCACUCCGAGAGUAAGAGCCAUGAGAGAGUGGAGGAGAAUCAACUGCACACACUUGUUCCCUUCAUCCCCGCUGAUAGAACACUGGAGCCCCACGACAACCUCUUGCUCACUCAUGAAAAGCUAGGGAAGCUCUACACCCUUCGCACUUGUGGCUUCAACCACACCGCUGUCUUUGAGGAGCAACUCUUGGACCAAUCAGGUAUGAGCACUGACUUUCCUACUGUCUUUUAUUCCAUUGGGUGGGGUGGAUUUUGGAAAGUUCCUGAAUUUGGUGUAAAAGUACUCUCUCAAGAAUUUCUUGCCACCCUAAAAUCGAACGAUGAGGGAAUAACUUUUCGCAUGUUCAACAAAGAUUACAGUUUAACUUGGAGUGAGCUAAGUACAUGUCUAGGCUUUGUUCAAGAUUGUGAGCUAGACAUAGAUCAUGAUUUGAAAAAUUUUAACUUAGCUAAAUUCUGGAAGUUGAUUACUUGCUCCAAUAAUCUCUCUGUUCGUAGACCUGUCCAAAUCCAUAACCCAACCUUAACAUUCAUGUACUUUUGGAUCGUAAUCACUCUCUUCCCUGGUACUAGUGUGGAUAAUAUAGGCUUCAAAGAAUUGCAAAUCCUUUAUGCCAUGGUAAAUAAAAUCAGAUUUUCACCUGUCAAGUGGCUAGUACCUUUCUGCAUUUCCUCCAUUGCACCUAGCAUGCCCCUAUGCUUUAGUUCACUUAUCACUAGAAUUGCUGAAUCUAUGGGUUUGCUUGAAACAAAUGAAGUAGAGUUGUUGAUGCAAAAGCUGAUCUGCAAACACAAAGGGCUAAUACCCGAUUCAAACGUUAAGGCGUGCCAGCUGAUUUGACCUUACUAUCGGCAAAGGUGAUAACUCGAAUACUUUGGUCCCGACAACAGCGAUGCGCCCGGAUGUCACGGCCAAGAGGUAUUCACGCGGAACUUGAGAAUACGCCGAGCUUAAGUCGACGAACUCCUAAGAACUCGUAAUAAAAAGGAAAAUAUGAUGAAGUCGUCGAAAAAGUAGAUGCUGGAAUAUGAGUAAAAACUUGUGUUUGAUUGAUUCAUCGAUAGAUGUCUCAUUACAAGGCCCUAGGGUCUACAUUUAUACCUUGCUCAAAGAGCUACAAUCAGACACGACUAGGACUCGAAUUCCAAAUUACAUAGAAUCCGUAUACAAAACGAACUUAAAUAACUAAGAAAAACAUAGAACCAUCCUUUCGUAACCGACCGGGACACCGCCACAGAUCAAUCGGCCAUCUCCACGCUUCCAUUCAGAGUCAUCGGCAGUUUUCCUGUUAUAGCCAUCGGCAAACACCAAUAUUGAUCAUCGGCAAGAACACGUCACUACCCCUAGGCUUAGUCAUACUCACUCAUCUCUUCAUCGGCAGCUCCCCUCAUCGGCAACUCUUCUGCAAUCUAAUUAUCGUUGCUCCGCCUGCCGAUCUGUACUCUAUUGGUCCCCGUGCACAUGUGUUGACGAUCCUUAAUGCUCACAUUUAACCAUCAAUUAAUCAUAGAAAAGGAUCCAAAUGCAACCAACACCUAGACUUAGGGUUUUAUCUGAUAGAAUUCCACAAGUUUUGGUGUUUGUCUAUUUCUGCAGGGGGAUAUCAGGAAAUAUGGAAGAAAGGCCCACACGUCGGGUUUACAUAGAGAUAUUAACGUGCCGCGCAAUUUUCUAUCAUCUAGAAGACUCCAGAAGCCACGGGACCGAAGCGGAAGCCGAGAGGCCUCAGGGAUAGGGCACCCGCCCUAGUCCUGAGGGCGCCCGCCCACCUCUUUCCACCAAUCAGGGUGAAGUUCGAGGAUCAUGCUCCACCGACCUAAUACUUCAAGCAAAACCACACGAUCAAUGUCGGUUUGAUCCGACGGCCCAGAUUCACUUGAAGGGACUAUAAAACCAGACCCCCCUGGCCCCUGGAGAUCAUACCUCUUCUACAGAAUCAAAGCUACUGUUUCAAUUCUUCAUCCAAGUAGAGAGGAUCCCUCUAGUUCUUCUAGUUCUACCUCUAGUUCAUCUAGAUCUAGUUCUAGUUCAUCUAGUUCUAGUUCUAGUUCCUCUAGUUCUAGUUCUAGUUAGUUCUAGUUGUAAUCUAGAAAAUAGGGAGAGAGAAGAGGAGAGCGGAGGAGGAGCCGGAUCUGUCGGAUCUUCCUCAACAUUGUACUUUUGCAGCAACUGGUUCGUUCUUCGUCGUUCUCCAGGUUCUUCAAUUCAUAACUCCUGAGUUCUCUAAUUACUUUUAUUUACAUUCAAGUUAUUUAUUGGAUUCCCGCUUGCAUCAAGUGCUCUAAUCUUUGAAACAUUAGAGUAGUAAUUAAUAGAUUAGACGUGGUGUUUAGUCUUGCGAUUACCUGGAAUUGCACCCAAUCCUGCGGAUUGUUGUGGUAGCCUUAGGGUAGUGACAGCCCUAACGGUCGACGUAUUCCACCACGUUCGGAUAGGUGUUUGUAGGACCGUAGUCAGACCUUCCUAGCCCCCUUCUCAUCUCUUUCUGUGGUUAGUGCUCUGAUGUCCCGAUAUAGAUAAUCUUGAAGUAAUUCUUGAUUCUUAGAUCAACUAGAGAACUCUCAGGAAACUUCCUCUCUUCCCACCAAAAAAUAAUUAUAUAGUUAUCCUUGGGCGAUCUUGAAUCUUAAUUAGUACACUCACGUUCCCUGUGGAAAAUCGAUACUCUGGAAUACUCCCGGGUGAAAGCUACAUCGGUAUCCGUGCGCUUGCGGAUUUUUCUGUUUGCGUUUAAAAUACCCAACAAGCUUUCUGGCGCCGUUGCCGGGGAACGGUAGAUGUGCUAGUUUCGAACCAGGUCGUCCGUGUAUCCUUUUUCUUUUCCUUUUUUACCACACUCACCUUAUCAUUUUCACCAUACCACAUGGAUUUCACUCUAAGCAUUAAUGAGUAUGGAAUUUAUUUCAUAGCCACUUCAUUUAGUCCAUGCUCAUAUGCAACAUCUUCACAAUCCAUUGGUCUCUCCAACAUCACCACAUUCGAGAUCUCCAACCCCCUCAUCCUUUCUAUGUAUAAAUCUUUAAAAGGGUGGUUGUUGAUGCAUAUGUCUAUAUUAAAUAUUGUAGAUCUCGUUGAGUUGAUCUUGAUAUAGGCCAGCGUUGGAGGGGAAACCACUUCGCCGACAUAAAUCGAUGGUUUCCCAAGGACAAGCUUAGUGUCCUAAAACAAGCACUGAUCAGAUUGUAACAUGAGCUUUUAACUAUUUGCAACAUUACCUUGAGUGUUGAGCAUAUAAGAAUAAUUGUAGAAAAUUCCUUCGGGUAUUCUUGUCACUAACCUUUUCAGGAUUGGAGCAAGAAGAUCGGAUGAAUGACAAGCACAAGGUAUGUCCAACCAACUAUCAUACAACAUUGAAUUAAAUUCAUCCAAACUUGAAUUUUGCAAAAAUUCAAGCUUGGGGGAGUACUUUACAUAAAACUUCCUUUACCAUGUUGCUAUGUUGGUUGUCCCUACCUUUGAAACAUGCUCAAUUUGUUAAAUACUAAUCACACUACUUCAUCUCCACUUGAGUAGAUCUCUAUAAAUGGUUUCAUGCUACCUUUAUUUGCUUUAGUAUAUGUCUAGGUUUGGAGUAGUUUCAUUUAUCUCUUAAUUAAGCAUGGUGCUUAGUUUAGGAAUGAUGAUCUUACUUCCAAAGGACUUUAAAUUAAGCAUGAUGCUUAGGUUAAAAUUCCCUCCUAAAUCAAAUUAGACAUGGUGUCUAGGUUGAUCUUUGAGCCGAUAGUAUGCUAUAGUAGAUAUUGGAUAUUUUGUUGGACUAACCCCUGCAGGAAAACUUUCAAUAUCAACCUGGGAGGUCCUCAGAUAAACUCACAUUGGAGACAAAGAGAGACACACAUGAAGUUUAACAAUUUACACAAGGAAGGCAUAGCUCACAAGAGAUGAUCCAUAGAGGGUGCCACAAACACAAUGCACAACCGCUAAGAGAGGAAAGCUUCCACAAGGUGAUACUGUACCAUCACUCUUCAAGUAAGGUAACAUCUUAAGGUACUUGACUAUCACUUCUAUAAGCUUCUCCUUGAUUCUGGCGUUCACAUGAAUAAAAGAGACAAACAUGUAUGAUUUACAACUCUAGAUUAACCAACCCAAUCGAUUCAACAUGUUUAGUCCUUUCAUCUUUGUGAUCCCACACUCCUAAUCAUAUGAACUAAAAUGUUGCACACUUAAUCUUUGGAAAAUGAUAGUCAUGUAAAGAAAAAAAUAUUUACUUAGAUAGAUUAUCUUUCCAUAAGGUUGAGUGAUCUGAUCUGACAAAUGUUUUAAAUGUUACACUCAUGGUCUUAUUAUCCAUCAACUUUGUCUUUCUCACUAUGCUUAAUGUUAGAGAGAACAAAUACACUUUUGGUUCUGUUGGUGUUUUCCACCAACAGGGCCCAUGCACUUGAUCUCCGCCUUGUCUCUAUGAGCAGGUACACUUUAAGCAAACUAUGAAGGACUUUUACAACUCCCAGACUCCACCAAGUGAAGAACCUAGAUCUACGAGCACAAACACACUGGAGAUACUGGACACUCAGGCAAUCACUGCCCUGAGAUGCUUGAGGAUGUAACUACUAGAGUAACCCCGUUGUGGAAGUAAUUACUGACCUUCUGUCGGUCAAGAGAGACAAUCCAGGACGCCCCGUCAUCCCGAUCUCCAUCGGCAUGGUGGACUUUCUAGAAGCACUCUGCAACUUUGGCUCUAGCGUCAACAUUAUGCCCAGGGUACUCUAUAAAAAAAUUCUUUACACAUCCUUUCCUAGAAACAACCAUGUGUUUGCAGCUUGCAGAUCAGACACUAAGUUUCAAAAAGGGAAUAUUGAAGAACCUCUACGUCCGAGUUGGUACCUUAUACGCUCCAACAGACUUCGUGGUGAUAGAGACUGAUACUGAUGAGAGGGCACCCAUCAUCCUAGGGAGGCCAUUCCUGAACACCUCGGGGGCUGUCAUCUACGCUAGUGCUGCCAAGAUCAGUUUCUACAUCAAGGGGAAGAAGGAGACGUUUACCUUCAAGAAUAAGACUACACAAAUCUCAGAGCAAUCCAGACAUGAACCCAGGAAGAGGACCAAUAGUAGGAACAGGAACAAGCAAGUGUGGACCGAGUCAGCUAAGAUGGUCACUGCAGCUCAAGGAGGUCAAGAUCGUCAACUCAAGUCACCGUUCGUGACCAAGAAGGACGACCCUGGUGUUCCAAGCAUCAAGUGCACAAUCAACGGAUAUUCUUUUCAGAAGACACUCUACGACACCGGAUUUGACGUCAACAUAAUGGCCGCAGUCACCUAUCAGCUUCUGUUCGGAACCAUGCCCCUAAAACCGACAUACAUUCAGCUCUAGAUGGCAGAUCAGACAUUCCGAAAGGUUGAAGAUUUUCAGGUUAUUGACAUGGUAGACGACGAGUACGAUCCAACCAUCAUCCUUGAAAGACCGUUCCUCAGCACCGUUAAAGCAAUCAUCUACAUUGGAAUCGGAGAAGUCCACAUGCACUUCCCCUCAGAGAAGGUACGCCGCUAUUUUACUGACCCUAACCAUAUAGUUGAAGACUCUGAGCAGGUCAGGACAAGAAGACAACGACGCAACCGCAACCAAAGGAGGCAAAUCAUCAAGGACGGAUGGGUAGACUAUGAAGGAGAAGUUGUAAGGUCUGAAGACAUACAACUUGAACAGAACCGUCCUGAGGAGACCGUAGCAUCGAGUCAGGUGUGGAGAAAAAAGAUAGUUAUACAUGAAGAGCAGGCUCCACCGGAACCACCGACUACGCCAUCCAACGAAUCCCAGGACAACUGAGAAAAUAGAGAGUCCCGUUCGGAGGACUUAAAAACACCGAGCACCUUGCCAAGAGGUAAACUUGGUAGUUAUCCUUUUUCCCUUUCAAUUAUUUAAAAUAGUUUGCUUAGUUAAUCAGGUUCAUAUCAUCUUGAAAAGAAAAUAAAAAUGUUAAGUAAGCCCCAUGUGAGUAUGCUCAUGGCAUAAAACCCAUAAGUACAUUCACUGUGGUGGCAUAAAAAUAAAAUAAAUAUAUUCCUGUCCUAUAAAAAUAAAAUUAUAAAAAUAGAUUUAUGAUCCUACCAAAGAGAGUAACAUUUAUUGAGGAGGCUCAACAUGAUAAAGACUAGAUAUUUAUGCUAAAACUUAACUAGUCCACAAAGCUUUGUUGUCUAUUUGAGCUCCACAGAAUUCAAGGAUCAAAGAAGACUAGUAGACGGAGGACAUCCUAAUCACUCUCAGGGUGCUGCCGUCAUUCAAAUACACCUCCGCCACCUGCUAGCUACAUCAGAAGAAACUACGUCAAAAUCCAGCUUGGGGGAGAGCACCCCAAUUUAUCCAGCUAAGUAUUCUACUCGCGUUUAUAUUUUACUCAAAUAAUAAAAAGAUGCAUAAUCAUAAAAACCUAAAUAAAGAUUUUGUGCUUAUAUAUAUAUCUUUUUUUAGUUUGCUAAAUAAAUAAAUAAAUAAAAUUUGCAAUGAACCCUCAUGAUAAGCUCUCACAUGGAAAUGAUGAGUAGUUGCUCUGCCAUGACUAGUUCUCAAAAUUGAAAUCUCUCUCAAGUUUAGGCAUGACUGUUAUGAAUUAAGAUUUGCUCUAAACCUAAACUUGUGGGAAGAGUACUUGAUCUGAAGUCUAAGUCGUUAACAGAUAUGAUGUGGGAAGGUUGAGCUGCUGUUUAUCUGUUCCUAGAGAUGCUAGAAUUCUGGAGAAUUUUAUCUUUGAAAAUCUUUAAAAUGUUGCAUGAUGAGUUCCUGUAUGAUGAGAGUUUAAAUUCCUACCACAGCCAUAUAUACAUGCUUGUUAGACUAUGAACCACACAUUUACUUUUUACUGCUUAUGAGCAUUGAGUGUGGUCAAGCUGUGUAGACCCUUAGGAGCUUGUCAUGUGGUUAAAAUCAAGAUUCACUUGCACGUUCACUCAUACAUGCUGCUUCUACUCCGAAAGUACGCAUCCACAUAUAUCCAUCCAUUUUCAUCUCCAGAACCACCUAAAAAUAUUCUACUCCUAAUCAGGGAGAGAAUAGCCAAAAACAUUUCUGUUUUCCCUUGUGAAAUAAAUGCUCAAGUUAUCUUGUUCCUACCACUUGCUAUAUUAUCGCAUG
Molecule: long non-coding RNA, 10308 nt
Filed under: Sorghum bicolor (sorghum)
Lineage: Eukaryota; Viridiplantae; Streptophyta; Magnoliopsida; Poales; Poaceae
Description: long non-coding RNA (SBIC_LNC000989)
Source: RNAcentral